ACGAACGCUGGCGGCGUGCCUAAUACAUGCAAGUCGAGCAGAAUGAUGAAGAAGCUUGCUUCUUCUGAUUUUAGCGGCGGACGGGUGAGUAACACGUGGGCAACCUACCUUGUAGAUUGGGAUAACUCCGGGAAACCGGGGCUAAUACCGAAUAAUCCAUUUUGCUUCAUGGCGAGAUGUUGAAAGACGGUUUCGGCUGUCACUAUAAGAUGGGCCCGCGGCGCAUUAGCUAGUUGGUAGGGUAAUGGCCUACCAAGGCGACGAUGCGUAGCCGACCUGAGAGGGUGAUCGGCCACACUGGGACUGAGACACGGCCCAGACUCCUACGGGAGGCAGCAGUAGGGAAUCUUCCACAAUGGACGAAAGUCUGAUGGAGCAACGCCGCGUGAGUGAAGAAGGUUUUCGGAUCGUAAAACUCUGUUGUAAGGGAAGAACACGUACGAGAGUAACUGCUCGUACCUUGACGGUACCUAACCAGAAAGCCACGGCUAACUACGUG
RNAcentral lists this ribosomal RNA (499 nucleotides) under uncultured bacterium. RNAcentral describes it as "bacterial SSU rRNA". It matches the Rfam family "Bacterial small subunit ribosomal RNA", at positions 29 to 507 of the family's 1533-position model. The record is from RNAcentral.